Regulatory RNA element from Burkholderiales bacterium JOSHI_001, 58 nucleotides. It matches the Rfam family "L17-Actino-Proteobacteria ribosomal protein leader". Lineage: Bacteria; Pseudomonadati; Pseudomonadota; Betaproteobacteria; Burkholderiales. The record is from Rfam.
AGCGCUGAUCUGAAUCAGCGCUGAGUGCAACCCCCAGUACCUGAUCCGGCUGGGGUUC